This 540-nucleotide ribosomal RNA is filed under the name Aspergillus sp. CPK3484. RNAcentral's name for it is "eukaryotic LSU rRNA". The stretch from base 218 to 371 matches the Rfam family "5.8S ribosomal RNA". Lineage: Eukaryota; Fungi; Ascomycota; Eurotiomycetes; Eurotiales; Aspergillaceae. The record is from RNAcentral.
AGGUUUCCGUAGGUGAACCUGCGGAAGGAUCAUUACCGAGUGUAGGGUUCCUAGCGAGCCCAACCUCCCACCCGUGUUUACUGUACCUUAGUUGCUUCGGCGGGCCCGCCAUUCAUGGCCGCCGGGGGCUCUCAGCCCCGGGCCCGCGCCCGCCGGAGACACCACGAACUCUGUCUGAUCUAGUGAAGUCUGAGUUGAUUGUAUCGCAAUCAGUUAAAACUUUCAACAAUGGAUCUCUUGGUUCCGGCAUCGAUGAAGAACGCAGCGAAAUGCGAUAACUAGUGUGAAUUGCAGAAUUCCGUGAAUCAUCGAGUCUUUGAACGCACAUUGCGCCCCCUGGUAUUCCGGGGGGCAUGCCUGUCCGAGCGUCAUUGCUGCCCAUCAAGCACGGCUUGUGUGUUGGGUCGUCGUCCCCUCUCCGGGGGGGACGGGCCCCAAAGGCAGCGGCGGCACCGCGUCCGAUCCUCGAGCGUAUGGGGCUUUGUCACCCGCUCUGUAGGCCCGGCCGGCGCUUGCCGAACGCAAAUCAAUCUUUUCCAG